GUCGCCACCUCGCGUCCCGCUAUCCCCGCGCACGCCGCCUCCGGCCCUGAGUCCCGGCCGCACCCGGCGCCGCUCACCUGCUUCUGGAUGUCCCGCACGCGCUGCUCGUGCAGGCGCGGAGCGCUGCUGAGCUUGAACACCACCCAGGCGCGCACGUAGUAGUAGAUAUCGAAGAUAAGCGAGAGCGGCAGGAGGAAGAGGCACACGAACACCCAGCGCUGGUGGAUGAGCACGAACUCCAGCCCCUUCAGGCGCACCCACAGCAGGAAGAGCAGCGCGCACACGGCCAGCGACACGGCGGGCUCCAUGGUGCGGCGCCGCGCGAGCAUAAACUCAGAGGACGCAGCUACUUCUCUCCAUGAAUAGGCUGUCUCCCAGGCACAGAAUUCCAGGAACCAGCAGGGCCUUUCAAGGUUGGUUUCAAGGGAAGAGUGUGUCCCUUGCAGGGUGGCUGGAGCCAGCUCCAAGAGCCUGAAAAAUCAUCUUGGCACCAAGUCUGAUGCAACUCUGGACCCAACAGGAAUCUUGGAGGAUUUGCCACAACCUUAGUCAUUCACCUUCAAAUCAUCCACACUGAUUCAGCCUCUCCUUCACUGAACAAGUAUUUAUUGAGCACCUACUAUGUGUAACCUUCUAGGCAAUAUAACUUUUUGGAUACAGCAGAUUAAACAAAGAUCACUGCAAUCACUAAAUGAAUAUCUUGAGAGGUGGAUUGUAAAAGAGACUUCUGUACUAUUUUAUGUGUACAUAGAAUCAAGUGGGUAUAGAACUUUGGUGUUGGAUGGACCUGAGUUUAAACACACUCUGUUCUGUGAUCUUGGUUAUUUGAAUUUCUCUGAGCCUCAGUUUCCUCAAUCCUUAGGUGGAAAUAAAAAUUCCUACCUUAUCCAGAAUCAGUUAAAUAUAGAGUUAGCCAUAUGACCAGCAAGUUCAUGCCUAAAUUACAUAACUGAGGGAAAUAAAAACAUAUUUUUUAUCUUUCACACAAAAACUAGUAUCUGAAUGUUCACAGCUGCAGUAUCCAUAAUAGCCAAAAAGUAGAAACAACUAAAAUGUCUGUCAACCAAACAGUAAGUAAACAAAAUGUUUUAUAUCAUACAAUGGAAUAUUACUCAGCAAUAAAAAGGAAUGAACU
RNAcentral lists this long non-coding RNA (1135 nucleotides) under Homo sapiens (human). Its description in RNAcentral is "DHCR24 divergent transcript". Lineage: Eukaryota; Metazoa; Chordata; Mammalia; Primates; Hominidae. The record is from RNAcentral.